Molecule: unclassified non-coding RNA, 377 nt
Filed under: uncultured Thermoleophilia bacterium
Lineage: Bacteria; Bacillati; Actinomycetota; Thermoleophilia
Description: contains 16S-23S intergenic spacer region
Source: RNAcentral
UCCGACUUAAAGGUCGGCAGUCUCGCUAGAGUGCCCAACUUAAUGAUGGCAACUAACGACAGGGGUUGCGCUCGUUGCAGGACUUAACCCAACACCUCACGGCACGAGCUGACGACAGCCAUGCACCACCUGUGAAGGUGUCCCGAAGGGAGGCCGUGUUUCCACGGCUGUCACCUACAUGUCAAGCCCAGGUAAGGUUCUUCGCGUUGCGUCGAAUUGAACCACAUGCUCCGCUGCUUGUGCGGGUCCCCGUCAAUUCCUUUGAGUUUUAGCCUUGCGGCCGUACUCCCCAGGCGGGGUACUUAGUGCGUUAGCGACGGCACGGGAGGAGUCGACACCUCCCACACCUAGUACCCAUCGUUUACGGCGUGGACUAC